AGUCUUUUCAUCCAAACCGCUUUCCACCCAGAUCUCCUUUUCCAAAUCACCCCUCGCCCCAAAUCUGCAAAGAACUUCUCAUUUCCAGGUCACUUCUCAGUAGAGGGGGAGGUUACAGAAACAGGCCCCCACCCAGCAGUUCUUUCCCUACCCUGCCUCUCCUCUUGCAAGAGGGCAGGGGUGGGAAACGUAGGGAGGGGCCGGGGCUCAUACUGCAGUUUCCCCCUUGCUGCUGUGGCUGAGUCUGUGGUAGAAGCGGCGCCACGACUGCAGGGUCUUGCCCGACCAGAUCCAGAAGCCAGUGGUGAUGCCCACGAUCAUGGUCAUCAAGUACUUGAUCAUGAAGACGGUGAAGUCGGGGCUCAUGGGCGGGAAGUGGCCGGGCGGGCAGGGCACGGCAUAGCUCUUGCACGUCUGCAGGAGCCAGGUGCGCUCCCAGUGCUCGCGGAAGGCCUGCUCGUAGAAGUAGCAGGCCAGCACGAUGGUGGCGGGCACUGUGUAGAGCACGCUGAAGACGCCAAUGCGCACCAUGAGCUUCUCCAGCUUCUCGGUCUUGGUGCCGUCGUGUUUCAUGAUGGUGCGGAUACGGAAGAGGGACACGAAGCCGGCCAGCAGGAAGGACGUGCCGAUGAAGAGGUAGACGAACAGAGGCGCCAACACGAAGCCCCGCAGCGCGUCCACACUGGACAGGCCAACAUAGCACACCCCGCUGAGCAGGUCCCCGUCUACCUGGCCCAUGGCCAGGAUAGUGAUGGUCUUGACGGCGGGCACGGCCCACGCGGCCAAGUGGAAGUACUGCGAGUUGGCCUCGAUGGCCUCGUGGCCCCACUUCAUGCCGGCCGCCAGGAACCAAGUGAGAGACAGAAUGACCCACCAGAUGGAGCUGGCCAUGCCGAAGAAGUAAAGCACCAUAAAGAGGAUGGUGCAGCCCUCCUUCUUGGUGCCCUGCGCCACCGUGCGGUAGCCAUCGUCCGAGAAGCGCUCCACGCACACGGCGCGGUCCUCCAGAAGGAAGCCGGCCACGUGCGCCACGGCCACCAUGAAGUAGCAGCCCGACAAGAAGAUGAUGGGCCGCUCUGGGUAGCUGAAGCGCCGCAUGUCCACCAGGGUUUCAAGGCGGGAGCAGAGACAGGAGGAAUGGGAAGAGAAGGAGAGAAAAGACGACAGACAUCUCUCUCCAUUCCUGGGAGAACAAUCGCCUUUGUUCACAGCAGGCUGAGAGAGCUGCUUGGGAAACGCUGGAUCUGGGCUCAGGGCAGGUUAGAGCCUGUGUGUACGCGUGAGGUCUCCCGGUGA
This 1296-nucleotide long non-coding RNA is filed under the name Macaca fascicularis (crab-eating macaque). Its description in RNAcentral is "lncRNA (ENSMFAG00000059332.1)". Lineage: Eukaryota; Metazoa; Chordata; Mammalia; Primates; Cercopithecidae. The record is from RNAcentral.